GUGGGGAAUAUUGCACAAUGGGCGAAAGCCUGAUGCAGCAACGCCGCGUGAGGGACGACGGCCUUCGGGUUGUAAACCUCUUUUAGUAGGGAAGAAGCGAAAGUGACGGUACCUGCAGAAAAAGCACCGGCUAACUACGUGCCAGCAGUCGCGGUAAUACGUAGGGUGCAAGCGUUAUCCGGAAUUAUUGGGCGUAAAGAGCUCGUAGGCGGUCUGUCGCGUCUGCUGUGAAAACUGGAGGCUCAACCUCCAGCCUGCAGUGGGUACGGGCAGACUAGAGUGCGGUAGGGGAGAUUGGAAUUCCUGGUGUAGCGGUGGAAUGCGCAGAUAUCAGGAGGAACACCGAUGGCGAAGGCAGAUCUCUGGGCCGUAACUGACGCUGAGGAGCGAAAGCGUGGGGAGCGAACAGGAUUAGAAACCCCUGUAGUCC
RNAcentral lists this ribosomal RNA (430 nucleotides) under uncultured bacterium. RNAcentral describes it as "partial 16S ribosomal RNA". It matches the Rfam family "Bacterial small subunit ribosomal RNA", at positions 354 to 796 of the family's 1533-position model. The record is from RNAcentral.